RNAcentral lists this ribosomal RNA (468 nucleotides) under uncultured bacterium. RNAcentral's name for it is "partial 16S ribosomal RNA". It matches the Rfam family "Bacterial small subunit ribosomal RNA", at positions 28 to 507 of the family's 1533-position model. The record is from RNAcentral.
GACGAACGCUGGCGGCGUGCCUAACACAUGCAAGUCGAACGGAAAGGCCCUGCUUUUGUGGGGUGCUCGAGUGGCGAACGGGUGAGUAACACGUGAGUAACCUGCCCUUGACUUUGGGAUAACUUCAGGAAACUGGGGCUAAUACCGGAUAGGAGCACCUGCUGCAUGGCGGUGGUUGGAAAGUUUCGGCGGCUUGGGAUGGACUCGCGGCUUAUCAGCUUGUGGGUGGGGUAGUGGCUUACCAAGGCUUUGACGGGUAGCCGGCCUGGGAGGGUGACCGGGCACAUUGGGACUGGGGUACGGGCCAGACUGCUACGGGGGGCAGCGGUGGAGGAUAGUGCGCGAUGGGCGGAAGCCUUGUGCAGCAACGCCGCGUGCGGGAUGACUGCCGUCGGGUUGUAAACCGCUUUCGCCUGUGACGAAGAGUGAGUGACGGUAAUGUGUAAAGAAGCACCGGCUAACUACGUG